RNAcentral lists this ribosomal RNA (268 nucleotides) under Clostridioides difficile. RNAcentral describes it as "partial 16S ribosomal RNA". It matches the Rfam family "Bacterial small subunit ribosomal RNA", at positions 617 to 885 of the family's 1533-position model. Lineage: Bacteria; Bacillati; Bacillota; Clostridia; Peptostreptococcales; Peptostreptococcaceae. The record is from RNAcentral.
UAGUAAGCUCUUGAAACUGGGAGACUUGAGUGCAGGAGAGGAGAGUGGAAUUCCUAGUGUAGCGGUGAAAUGCGUAGAUAUUAGGAGGAACACCAGUUGCGAAGGCGGCUCUCUGGACUGUAACUGACGCUGAGGCACGAAAGCGUGGGGAGCAAACAGGAUUAGAUCCCCUGGUAGUCCACGCUGUAAACGAUGAGUACUAGGUGUCGGGGGUUACCCCCUUCGGUGCCGCAGCUAACGCAUUAAGUACUCCGCCUGGGAAGUACGC